Molecule: non-coding RNA, 101 nt
Organism: Caenorhabditis elegans
Lineage: Eukaryota; Metazoa; Nematoda; Chromadorea; Rhabditida; Rhabditidae
Source: Ensembl
AAGAGAGACAGAGUGUUAGGCACGGCUGCUAGGUCGUCGCGAGAGGGCCUAUGCCGAUUUCGUCAUUUCGUGAAAUGUCUUUCUCGAACAAAGAGAUAGAA